GAAGAUGCAGGGUCGUUACUGGUGAGUCGUUAUGGCAGGUGCAUUUUGUCAGCUCCAGCUCUGACCUGAAAACAGGGGAGAGGGCAGAGCCUCUCUCAGCUGGGCCAGGGAAAACUCUGGUAAGGACUUCUGUGGGAGAUAGUUUUUUACUAACCUGUAAAUCUGCUUAUUAUUACUUAUCAGUAAGUGCAAAACCCAGGCCAAGGAUCAGCUUGUUCUGGAAUCAAGUGAAUGCUCCGUUUCAGGGUAACAGCCCUUUUCAUGUUGAUUUUUUUUGCAGGUUGCUGGAUAUACUUUUAAGGACUUUACCUGCUGAGUAUACUCUUAUGCUGUCUCUUCCUGCUAGUCCUUUAAACUUCAUUAUGUGGAGGUUUUUUUAUAAAUAAAAGAGAUUUAAUGCAUUUUCUAUACGUUUUAUCUCCUAAAGUAUUAGGAUGUAUUGCAUCUUCUUUAAAUCUACCUUUCCCUUACUGUCCAUCUUCAAAAGACUCUUAACCAUGUCACAGAUGCCAAUGCUGCAGCGGUCUGUCCUCCCUCCUCUCCUUUUACUUUCUUGCCCCCAGUUUGCUCACAAGUCUGUUGCUAAAAAUCCCACAGCUGUGACACACCAGCCUAUCUCUCUCAAAUCCCACUGAUUUCAUUUCUCUCUCAGCCUCCAAUUAAAUCUCCCUACCUUCCCCUUCAAGGCCUUCUGUAAUGUUACUUAGACCUCGUUCCUCCCACUCUUCCUCCUGCCUGUACUCCCCCAGUCAUCCCUCCUUUUGCUCAUUUUAUCUCAUUUUUCGAUGGUUCGAUCUUGUUUUUUUUCUUCACGCUCCUCUGAUACCUCAAUCCAUCUCGCACUUUCUAUUAGUCAAACAUUUUUCCCCCUCAUUCUGUGAACCUGGCCUUAAAUCCCGUUUUCUUCUUUGCUAGCGAUAACAUCCCGUGUGCACUCACGUGCGGUUUCCGGAGCUGUUGCCGCAUGUGGUUUUCCUGGAGUGCAUGUUCUUCACACCAGGAAUUUGUGGUUCUCCUAUAGUGCACAUCCCAUAGAUACAAACACACAAGAGGCUUUUGAAGAGCAGCGGUCACUGGGCAGCUGAAAGCUUUGUCUCCAGCCUGGACAGCACAGUGCAAGGAUGACAGAGUUGAGGAGUGCCCAAGUUCACAGCAGAUGGCAUCGGGGCACAAAGGAACCCUGAAGUCUUUGGCAGGUUCUUAUUCAACAGCAUUUCCACUGCCGUGUCUAGCUACACACGUCAGGAAGAUGUAGACAGACAAAAAGCCAUCCGAGAUAACACCAGUUCAAAGUCAAGCUUGCACCUUACCCUGUUGUCAGAGGUGGCAGAAUAAGAGCUAAAGAAUAAGACCGGUUCCCACACUUCCAUCCAGUUGUGCCUUCUCCAGCCUGAAAACAAUCUUCUUUAGCCUCACAAGGUACAUCUGAUUGGCUUCCUAUCCUCAAGCACAUGAGUUUAAAACCCCACAGCCUUUGGAAAGUGAGAUGAAAACUUCAGUUCUCAUGACUGUAUAUAUGAAAAUCCUGGGAAGAGAGUUUUGGAGGGCUUUUGACCAAUGCAAUUUGAUGUGAUAAAAAUACUUAAAACAAUUUAGCUUUUGUAUGGUAAUUCCAGGCACUGAGAGUCAGUGAGAACAUGUAAGAAAUGCUAUUUGUUUCAAUGUGUAAUAUGAAUAAUCAUCAUUAUCUACAUUACAGAAUAGGGAAGAAGACAAAAAGCUGGUAUUGUAGAUAGGUUGGUAAUAAUGGACUGUUCAUAACAGGAAUAUUUUUAUUUGUUCCACACAGGAAUAUGUCAAUAUUCCAGUUGAGCAGAGUUCUAGGUCAUAUCUGGUUUUUCUUAAGAUUUAUAAAGACAUCAAGAAUCAGAUUUGCAGAAAAGCAGCGAAGCUGAGUGCAGUGCAGAUGAGACUCGAUGCUGUUCUCUGUGACAUCUUCAGGCAUCCUGAGCUGAAAGUUACAGCUAGCCAGGUGUCCCCUGGAAAUACAGGGCAACUGUAUACCUGCUGCCUUUAUCCAUUGCGGUGCUUUAUCAUUAAUUGUCAUUAUUAUGCUGCCUGCAGUUCAUAGAUACUGAAAGAAUUUUAAGAGCAAUAUAAUCGGAAUAGGACUGGGAGCCAAAUAUUUCGCCUCUAACAGAGACUUGCUUCAUGGCUUCAGACAGAAUAUCCACUCUCUCUUCAUUUUCUGUGUAAAUGAGGGCUAGGAUUUGUGUUCGGUGGGAUGUUAUGAGAUUAACUUUUUCUCAUAUGCAUAAACUGUUUUUAAGGUAGAAAGUUCCAAGUCUUAUUUCAUGACAGCCUUGCAACUACAGUACAAAGGGAGCGGACCCUGUCUCUCCUCGGAAAGGGACAAACAGCUUGGAACUCAGCAAGUACUCUAUCCAGCUAGAACAAAUACAAUUUUGCAGUUCAUUGAUUUCCAUUUAUAAUGCCAAGUGUUAUUUGAUUUAUUUUUUAAAUAUCUACAUGCCACAACAUUAACUUCCUUUUUUUCCCUUUUAAAUGAAGUGUCACUGGCACGUGGUCCUCAUUAGCCUAGAGAUAUUUUGGAUAAGUUAGGACAAAGGCUCAGCAGUCAAAGAAAAGAGGGCCAUUUAGGACAGUGUUGGUGAUGCAGUCCCCAACUCUGCUCUCCUUAUGUGAGAGAAUUUAGAAUUUUGGGGCAUACUAAACUACUAUAUAGCUGCAUGGACUGUUGUCCUGGUUCUGUCUGAGAUAGAGUUAAUUUUCUUCCUAGUAGAUGGUAUAGUGCUGCAUUUUAGAUUUAAAAUGAGAAGAGAGUUGAUAACACACUGAUGUUUUAGUUGCUGCUAAGUAGUGUUUACACUAAGGACUUUUCAGCUUCUCAUGUUCUGCCAGCAAGAAUGCUGGGGUGCACAAGAAACUGGGAGGGGGCACAGCCAGGACAGAUGACCCAAACUGGCCAAAGGGAUAUUCUAUACCAUAUGAUAUCACACUCAGUAUAUCAACUAGAGAAAAGUUAGCUGGGAGGCCACUGCUUAGGAACUGGCUGUGCAGUCAUUUGGCAGGUGGUGAGCAAUUACAUUGUGCAUCACUUGUUUUGUAUAUUAUUAUUAUUAUUAUUUUAUUUAAAUUAUUAAACUGUUCUUAUC
Columba livia (rock pigeon) is the source of this 3116-nucleotide long non-coding RNA. RefSeq lists it as uncharacterized. The transcript is spliced from 3 exons. The record is from RefSeq and is a predicted model, not a curated record. Lineage: Eukaryota; Metazoa; Chordata; Aves; Columbiformes; Columbidae.